RNAcentral lists this ribosomal RNA (253 nucleotides) under uncultured bacterium. Its description in RNAcentral is "partial 16S ribosomal RNA". It matches the Rfam family "Bacterial small subunit ribosomal RNA", at positions 524 to 776 of the family's 1533-position model. The record is from RNAcentral.
UACGAAGGGAGCGAGCGUUGUUCGGAAUUACUGGGCGUAAAGGGCGCGUAGGCGGCCGAUCAAGUCAGAUGUGAAAGUCCUGGGCUUAACCUGGGGACUGCAUUUGAUACUGAUUGGCUUGAAUUCGGGAGAGGAUAGCGGAAUUCCCAGUGUAGAGGUGAAAUUCGUAGAUAUUGGGAAGAACACCGGUGGCGAAGGCGGCUAUCUGGACCGACAUUGACGCUGAUGCGCGAAAGCGUGGGGAGCAAACAGG